Molecule: ribosomal RNA, 248 nt
Filed under: Enterobacter hormaechei
Lineage: Bacteria; Pseudomonadati; Pseudomonadota; Gammaproteobacteria; Enterobacterales; Enterobacteriaceae
Description: partial 23S ribosomal RNA
Rfam family: Bacterial large subunit ribosomal RNA
Source: RNAcentral
GAGUGGACGCAUCACUGGUGUUCGGGUUGUCAUGCCAAUGGCACUGCCCGGUAGCUAAAUGCGGAAGAGAUAAGUGCUGAAAGCAUCUAAGCACGAAACUUGCCCCGAGAUGAGUUCUCCCUGAGACUUUAAGUCUCCUGAAGGAACGUUGAAGACGACGACGUUGAUAGGUCGGGUGUGUAAGCGCAGCGAUGCGUUGAGCUAACCGAUACUAAUGAACCGUGAGGCUUAACCUUACAACGCCGAAG